GUCAUGCGAGAAAGCCAGCAAAUACUUCCAACUCCAACGUCGAAAAGGACACGGAACACGUGGCUUUUCGUCUCUUAUCGUUGCAACAAUCGAUUCGGUUUUCGACACGAGACCCCCUCCAUACCGAAUAAUUUACGAUUUUGAUGAUGAAGAUGUACACAUUUCGAUUGUGCUAGCAGUAGCUGUAGAGGAAAAAGAAAUUGAAGAACACUGGAAUCAUGUUCUACAACAUUUUGUUCCGGCGAUAGGUUAAUUGGAUACUUGAUUGGAGAAAAACAAUUAUUUAUAAGACACUUUUUUAUUUCAGAACCCCUUCAAUUCGAGAAAGAUGUCCGAAGAUAUGUUACUACGAAAGUAGAAAGUUUAGCUAAUAAUUCAGAAGAAGUAGUUUCACCUUAUUCAGG
This 404-nucleotide small RNA is filed under the name Caenorhabditis elegans. Its description in RNAcentral is "Unclassified non-coding RNA Y45F10A.9". The record is from RNAcentral. Lineage: Eukaryota; Metazoa; Nematoda; Chromadorea; Rhabditida; Rhabditidae.